GCAGUCAGAGGCGAUGAAGGGCGUGCUAAUCUGCGAUAAGCGCCGGUAAGGUGAUAUGAACCGUUAUAACCGGCGAUACCCGAAUGGGGAAACCCAGUGUGACUCGUCACACUAUCAUUAACUGAAUCCAUAGGUUAAUGAGGCGAACCGGGGGAACUGAAACAUCUAAGUACCCCGAGGAAAAGAAAUCAACCGAGAUUCCCCCAGUAGCGGCGAGCGAACGGGGAGGAGCCCAGAGCCUGAAUCAGCAUGUGUGUUAGUGGAAGCGUCUGGAAAGGCGCGCGAUACAGGGUGACAGCCCCGUACACAAAAGCGCAUGUGCUGUGAGCUCGAUGAGUAGGGCGGGACACGUGGUAUCCUGUCUGAAUAUGGGGGGACCAUCCUCCAAGGCUAAAUACUCCUGACUGACCGAUAGUGAACCAGUACCGUGAGGGAAAGGCGAAAAGAACCCCGGCGAGGGGAGUGAAAAAGAACCUGAAACCGU
This 484-nucleotide ribosomal RNA is filed under the name Salmonella enterica subsp. enterica serovar Chester. RNAcentral's name for it is "partial 23S ribosomal RNA". It matches the Rfam family "Bacterial large subunit ribosomal RNA", at positions 36 to 559 of the family's 2925-position model. Lineage: Bacteria; Pseudomonadati; Pseudomonadota; Gammaproteobacteria; Enterobacterales; Enterobacteriaceae. RNAcentral also lists the same sequence under 2 other names. The record is from RNAcentral.